Molecule: non-coding RNA, 46 nt
Filed under: Cinara cedri
Lineage: Eukaryota; Metazoa; Arthropoda; Insecta; Hemiptera; Aphididae
Rfam family: Histone 3' UTR stem-loop
About the family: The mRNAs of metazoan histone genes lack a poly-A tail.
Source: RNAcentral
AAAACGGCCCUUUUCAGGGCCACUAAUAUUGUGUAUACCAAGUGAU